CGGGGGCGAAUCUCUCGGCUUGAGCAGAGCAGCGGCAGCUGCGGGCCCGCCCACUCGUGCUCCGCUCGGUUCCGGCUCCUAGGCAGCCCGUGGGCCGCUCUCCGGGCCGGCAGGGACCCAAGCAUGGCGGCCUUAACACACGCGGCACCACAGGUACCCGACAACUCCUCCGGCUGAGGCGCCGGGUGCGUGCCUCCCGCAGGGCAGACUGGACCAAGCCGCAUUCUUCAGUGGACGAUGGCCCUUGUCAAUCACUGAGGAAACUAGACCUUGGGUGUGGCCGGACAUCCGGGGCUUUCCACCCUCGGAGAGAGGCGGGCUUGAGGUGGGGGAGAUGAAAGGAUGUCAUACCCAAUAGCAAUCAAGGCCUUUGGCCUCGCGGCAGAUUGGCAGGUGCUUGAACCACUGAAGCCCCGCAGAGGGAUAUCGGCGCUCUGGCAGUGAUUGGUUCAGUUCGCGGGUGGGUGGUUUUCUCCGUGCGUUGGUUCCUCGCAGUUGAUAAAUCGGUCACAGUAGCUAUAAUUAACGCGGUCGGGGUUGGAGAACCACCGCGCUGAGCCCAACCAUGAUCGUCGGAAAUGUGUGCAACUCAGUGAACAAAAGCGGAGAUUAAAUGGAUGGUAUUCAGUAGAAAAUGGGACAUGAAUGGACACUUUACAGAAAAAAAAAUGCAAGAGGCUCCUAAACAUUUAAGCGUGUGCUCAGCCUUUUUCAUAAUCAGAAGAGUUCAAAUGAAAACCUCACUGAGCUAACGCUUCUGUUCCAUUAGGUUGUCAAAAAUCCAAAAGUUUAACAAGGGCGGUUCCCUGGACUCACUGGGACUGGAACUGUCUUACAGCUGCCAGCGCUCCCCACCACCAUGGGAACCCCUGUGCUGAAGAUGAAAAGCCAAAGCCGAACUGACCAGUCUCUGCAACCCCAAGCAUCACCAUGUGAGGACAGUGUGGUGUGGUGCUGCGGGGAUCCCACGCAGUGCCGCGAGGGGUGACCACGUGCAGGGGGCAGAGGUGGGGGGUAGCAAGCAGAUGCCGCCAGCAUGCCUGGGUGCCACAGGGAGCAUGCGGGCUGAGCAGUGAUGGGAAUGAACGUGAACUCCGGUCCCGCCCCAUGAAGUCCUCCAGCCCCUCCUCUCAAUUCGGGGCACCAGGUGGUAACUGCAGCAUGCAGAGUCAGGGACUCUUCCCUCAUCCCAAGAGCAGCACCUUGGGCACAGCCUCCAUCCCACAGAACACCCAAGGGUGGUUUGGUGGUCUAGAGACCUCCGAAGAUCCAGUGGGGAAGGAUGGAUAACAGAGGGUCUACUCUCUAAGGGGAAGGGAUUUUCCCUCCCCACUGCCAAGGUCCCAGCUCUGGAAGUGGGUGGCAGUGGCCGUUCACCCCCAGCCUGAGGCCUGUUCUUUCCUGUUCUAAGAGGCCCUCCAGAUCCAUCUGCUUGAGCAACCUCUGUCCCCAGGGAUCUUCAAGGCUGGCAGGUGUGUCCAGGGACCGAAACCUUUUUCUUCAAAGGGCCAGAUACUAUUUAGAUUUGGGAAGGCAGUGUGGUCUCUGCUGCAGUGACUCACCGCAGUCACUGUGGCGCGAAGGGGCACAGACCACAGGAAAAUAGGUGAGUGUGGUGUCGUUGCUGUUCCUGCCAUGCUGAGUUGACACAGCCGGGCAGGGGAUCAGGUGUGGCCCGGCCGUUGUCUGCCAACCCUUGCCCUGAUCCUAAGAACCUGCCUGUCCCACAGCUUGGGAGCACAGACCGCUGUCAGGGUGUCUGCUGGGCACUGUGCAGAAGCUGCCUCACCUUCUCAGGGUCAGACCUGACAAGGCCACAGGGUGAUGACAUCCACAUUCCUGAAGCCUGAGGUCCCAGAGCGACAGAGCCCCCAGCCUCCGAGGGGCACUAGUGCCCCAACCUGCUGGCCCAUUAGGCCCCUCCAGGAACUCAGAGACUUAACGCCCCUCCAAGAACCUCUGCUCCCAGACGGGGCCUUUUCUGCCAGUGAUUCCUGGUGCUUGAGAAGAAUGAGGAGGGCACACGUGGGAAACGUACGAAUUGGUUAUGAAGGCGAUGGAGGAGGGGAGGUUGAGGCCGCGUCAGUUGUGUUGGGGGCAUGUUAGCACACAGUAGGAGGGGAGCACUGCUAGUCUAAGAAAUCAGUGUCCUUACCAAAAGGAUUUGCAAGAAUAUGUGUGGCUCAGGACCUAAGGAACUUGCUACAGGGAAGUGAGGUCAGAGGUCAGCUCAAUCCUGAAAUAUAAAUGCAGCAAACCUGGUCAUGCCAAGAGGCAGCAUCCUUAGCACCUGAGGAACCAGGGCUCCUGCCAGGGUCUUCCUCCUGGCUGUGAUUACACUGCCGCCCCUGCCCACCCAGGGAGAAGCACUUUCCUGCUGAGGGUCGAGAGAGCUGAUGCCAGCACUGGGUGGGGAGACAGGGCCUGUCACAGGCAGAGCAGCUCUGAGGCUAGAGGGCCGCCUGCUGGCUGGUCUGGCACGAAGUCAUGAAAGGGCGGUUGAGUUCUGAUUCGGAAAUCAUAAACCUCCCCCUCCGCUGGGACCCUAGACUACUGGCCUCUGCUGAUGAGUAGGGGGGAUUCCCAUGAGCUGCUCGGGGUUGCCAGGCUUGGAAAAUGGCACAACCACCACCUAGACUUCUGCCUUAAACAAAGGACUCCAGGCCAUGCUGCAGAAGGGCAGCAGUGUGGGUGAGUGCCAGGAGCCUGCUGGGCCUGGUGCAUGUCACUGUGCCUCUGCCGAGGCGUCUCCAGCUUCCCCACUGCGCCCAGCGCACCCCUUCCCACCCAGUGCCCAGUGGCUGUGCAGGAGAUGUCCAGAUGGGAAGGGGGAGCCCAAUUCCAAUGAGAAGCCACAGCCGCACCGCCUGGAGCUACAAGGCGCUGCUGCAGGUGCCAGCCUGGGAGGCCACUGAAUGAUGAACACCAGGAAUCUGCUGUGUCCCGAAGGAGAAGCUGAGAAGUCAGCUCUGCUGGGGACUCUGUGUUGUUCCCUUAAAUCCUACGAGACAGCCAGAGAGAAAGCCGUCCCGCUCCUAGCCCACGCCUGUCUCCAGAUGCCCAUCCCUCCCGGCAUCUGCAGCACUCCGCCUGCUCUGGCCCUGCCCAGCGGGUCCCGGCUGCUGAGCUCAGAGGUGACAGCUCUGGCAAGCAGAGCACAGCUCAUCUCGGGACACACACUGCGCCUGCCUGGGCUUGGGGAGGUAGGCCCUGCAGCCCAGGAGGCUCCUGUCAGCCCCCUGUCCCCCCUAUUGGAAGUCUGAAAACAUGCAUGCACGAAGCCCAGAGUGGCCAGGCCAGGGAUUCGGGAUUUGCCAGAGUGGGUUUGACGUGUGUAUUGCUGAAGAGGCAUAGCCCGAUCUGCCACUCCCUGAGGGCAGACAUCCCACUGCUGCCUGCAAAAAAGGGACAGAUCUCGAGGCCUGAAGAGGGCACAUGGGGGGGGGGGCACAGAGGAAGCCAGACCUGUGUCCUGGAGUGGACACAGGCUCCAGGCACAUGAGCCAUGGUGAGAAAAGCUGAGCUUCUGGAGGGGAGAAGCCCCGUCGGGGAGCAACCUCUUGGUUCUUCAAUCCUGCAGGUUAUCAGGCAACACCUUGGGCCAGCCCAGGGCAGAGCUGUUGGCUUCUUAUCAACCUCCACUAACUAAAGGACCAGUGAGGGAGGCGUGGAGAGAUCCUCAGCUGCUGUUCUGGAAGCGCUGCCCUCUGUCCCCAACAUCCUGUCCAAUAGCCCAAAAAGCCAGGCCCCUCCCCUCUAGCUUUAGCCCUCAUACUACCAGAUAGGCUGAUGUGGACCUAUGGGGAGGCGGGGGGCUCUCAGGGUGAAAGGAAGAAGUUUCUAGAUUUGAAUUCAAAACCCAAACAUUUGGUUGGUUGUGGUGGUUCACUUGAGACCAGGAGUUCGAGACCAGCCUGGGCAACAUGGUGAAAUCCUGUCUCUACAAAAAUACAAAAAUUAGCUGGGUGUGUGGCACACGCCUGUAAUCCCAGCUACUGAGGAGGCUAAGGCAGGAGAAUUGCUUGAACUUGGGAAACAGAGACUGCAGUGAGCCAAGAUCAGGCCACUUCACUCCAGCCUGGGCAACAGAGUGAGACUCCAGUGUCUUAAAAAAAGAAAAUAAAAGAAAAGAAAACAUUAAAAAAUCCUGCCAGCUUG
Non-coding RNA from Callithrix jacchus (white-tufted-ear marmoset), 4158 nucleotides. The record is from RefSeq and is a predicted model, not a curated record. NCBI's taxonomy places the organism in Eukaryota, Metazoa, Chordata, Mammalia, Primates, Cebidae.